This 778-nucleotide long non-coding RNA is filed under the name Corvus moneduloides (New Caledonian crow). RNAcentral's name for it is "lncRNA (ENSCMUG00000005755.2)". Lineage: Eukaryota; Metazoa; Chordata; Aves; Passeriformes; Corvidae. The record is from RNAcentral.
CCAUCAUCCUGGAAGGAAGGACCUGCUCAUGGCUAAGAGAUGAGUCAAACUUGACCAUUCCUCUGCAGAGGAGGUGCCGAGUGCAGCCUGGGAGAGAAGAGGUGACAGCCUCAAGGCUGCUGGGCCAGUCCCCAAGGAAGCAGCAGGAACAUGCCCGGACCUUCCAUUUCGGGGCUGUUUCCUCUGUGUUACCUGCACACGGGGAAAGCACAGGUGUGUUCCACCACGCACAGCAUCCCCGGGGCACUGCUGCUCCCUCAUCCUCAUGCAGCCACCACCUGCACUGCAGCCUGUGUCCUGUCCACAUGCAGCUCCCUGUGAGGCCAGAGACAGCCACGUCAGCGCUGUGCCUGCCAAGGUGACAGGGACGCUUUCAGGGCUGUCCCCCAGGUGACAGCCUGGGCUCAGCCCCGUUACUCCCUCCUGGACCCCUUGUCGUGCCUGGCUGGAUUUCAGUGCUCUCCCUUGAGCAAGCACCUGUCUGCCAAUGCAGGGAGGAGGAGGAGCAUGUUUUUUCCAGUUAAGAGUGAACUGCUUUUCAAGUGGUCCCUCUGAAAGGGCUGGUGAGGAGAAGCAGGAAUCCAGAUGCGUUUCCCUGCUUUGUGGCUGCUGGCCCCGGCUCACACCCAGCAGGGAAGGCAGUCGGUGAUGAUUUGAUUUGAAUUGAAUUGAACUGCACUUUGGGGGGAAAACAAGAAGGUGGCAGGGGCACCGUCCAUGGAAAGGAGGGUGAUCCUGGGAAACCCAUCCCAGCCAGGAGCUGGAGGCUGUGGGUAGC